AUUCAUUUAAAGACAUUAAGUGGGGAAAAGGAGUAUUUUAAAAUACAAACUUGGUAACCAGUGGAGUAACUACGCCUCUCUUAAGGGAGACAAAUGCCUCGUCAUCUAAUUAAUGACACACAUGAAUGGAU
Molecule: non-coding RNA, 131 nt
Filed under: Oryctolagus cuniculus (rabbit)
Lineage: Eukaryota; Metazoa; Chordata; Mammalia; Lagomorpha; Leporidae
Source: Rfam by way of RNAcentral